This 787-nucleotide non-coding RNA is filed under the name Orussus occidentalis. The record is from RNAcentral. Lineage: Eukaryota; Metazoa; Arthropoda; Insecta; Hymenoptera; Orussidae.
ACUUAAUUUUAAAUUUUAAUUCUUUAUUAAAUGUUAAGUUUAGUUUAUUUAUAUAUAUAAGUUUAGGCUAAAAAUAUGCUUAUAAAUUAAGCAUAUAAUUUGUAUAUUAAUAUAAAAAAUUAAUUUAAAUAAAUAACUUUAUAAUUAGGUAUAACAUUAAUUUCUGGUAAAUGAAUGUGCCAGCAACAGCGGUUAAACAUUAAGAAAAAUUUAAUAAUAUCGAUUAGAAUACGGUUUAGUUGGUUAAUAAAAAUUAAAUAUUAAUGGUAAAAUAGAAAUAUUUAUAUUUAAAUUAAAAUUAAAUAAUCAAAAUUUUAAUAAAUUAUCUAAUUAAACUAGGAUUAGAUACCCUAUUAUAUAUAAUUAAUAAUAAAAUUAAUCAAGGUAGUAUUAGUUAUAUUCUUAAAAUCUAAAGAAUUUGACGGUAUUUUAAUAAAAUCAGAGGAACUUGUCAUUUAAUUCGAUAAUCCACGAUAGAAUAUACCUUGUUUUAACUUAUAUACCUCCGUUUUAAUGAAAAUUUUAUAAGGAAAUUUUUAUAAAAUAAUUUGAUAUAAUAAUUCAGGUCAAGGUGUAGUGAAUAAUAAGGAAUAAGAUGAGUUACAAUAAAAAUAAAAUUGUGAAUUUAAUUAUGAAAUUUAGUUAAUGAAAAUGGAUUUGAAGGUAAGAUAAUUAAAUUAUAUUAUCUGAUUAAAAUACUAAAAUAUGUACAAAUUGCCCGUCACUUUCAUUAAGAGUGAAAUAAGUCGUAACAAAGUAAAUGUACUGGAAAGUGUAUUUAGAAUAA